This 498-nucleotide ribosomal RNA is filed under the name uncultured bacterium. Its description in RNAcentral is "partial 16S ribosomal RNA". It matches the Rfam family "Bacterial small subunit ribosomal RNA", at positions 30 to 523 of the family's 1533-position model. The record is from RNAcentral.
AUUGAACGCUGGCGGCAUGCCUUACACAUGCAAGUCGAACGGUAACAGGUCUUCGGACGCUGACGAGUGGCGAACGGGUGAGUAAUACAUCGGAACGUGCCCAGUCGUGGGGGAUAACUACUCGAAAGAGUAGCUAAUACCGCAUACGAUCUGAGGAUGAAAGCGGGGGACCUUCGGGCCUCGCGCGCUGGGAGCGGCCGAUGGCAGAUUAGGUAGUUGGUGGGAUAAAAGCUUACCAAGCCGACGAUCUGUAGCUGGUCUGAGAGGACGACCAGCCACACUGGGGCUGAGACACGGCCCAGACUCCUACGGGAGGCAGCAGUGGGGAAUUUUGGACAAUGGGCGAAAGCCUGAUCCAGCAAUGCCGCGUGCAGGGUGAAGGCCUUCGGGUUGUAAACUGCUUUUGUACGGAACGAAAAAGCUCCUUCUAAUACAGGGGGCCCAUGACGGUACCGUAAGAAUAAGCACCGGCUAACUACGUGCCAGCAGCCGCAGUAA